This 214-nucleotide long non-coding RNA is filed under the name Vigna radiata. Its description in RNAcentral is "long non-coding RNA (VRAD_LNC010391)". Lineage: Eukaryota; Viridiplantae; Streptophyta; Magnoliopsida; Fabales; Fabaceae. The record is from RNAcentral.
AAACAUAUGGCACUCAGCUUCACUCAGAAGGGCAAGCAGGCUUGGUGCGACUCGAGGAAUUGGUGCUCAAUUCCCCAAAAAGGGCACCCAGGCGCGAGCCAGAAGCUUUUUGCGCUAAGGGCCUCAGAAAAGGGCAGUCAGGCAUGAGACAGUGAGUUCUGGCGCUGAGGGCCCCUGAAAAGGGCACUCAGGCGUCCUACGAUCCUCUUUUCUG